GUGAAUCAUCGAAUUUUUGAACGCAAAUUGCACUCUCCGGUUUUCCGGGCUAGUAUGCCUGUUUGAGGGUCUGUUUAAAAAAUAAUCGAGGCUGCUGCUGUGGUGUCUCUUCGGCAUUGGGUCAUCUUUCACCUUUCGCUUGUAAGCGACCUAAAAUUUUUUUUUACGAUUUCUACGAACGUGUCGAAGAAUUUCUUAUACGUUCACGACAUCGAAAUCAUAUUAGGGGUUACCGCCGCGUCGGGUUCUCUCCCAUACUAUGUCAUCUAAG
This 271-nucleotide unclassified non-coding RNA is filed under the name Glomeraceae sp. Its description in RNAcentral is "partial contains 5.8S ribosomal RNA and internal transcribed spacer 2". The stretch from base 1 to 72 matches the Rfam family "5.8S ribosomal RNA", at positions 84 to 154 of the family's 154-position model. Lineage: Eukaryota; Fungi; Glomeromycota; Glomeromycetes; Glomerales; Glomeraceae. The record is from RNAcentral.